GCGCACCAGGCAAGAAUCUUCGGCAAUGGGGGAAACCCUGACCGAGCGACGCCGCGUGUGGGAUGAAGGCCCUUGGGUUGUAAACCACUGUCAGAGGGGAUGAAAUGCCGGAAAGUUAUCUCUCCGGUUUGACAUAGCCUCAGAGGAAGCACGGGCUAAGUUCGUGCCAGCAGCCGCGGUAAGACGAACUGUGCAAACGUUAUUCGGAAUCACUGGGCUUGAAGAGUGCGUAGGCGGUUUCGUAAGUAGGGUGUGAAAGCCCCCGGCUCAACCGGGGAAUUGCGUCCUAAACUGCGAGGCUGGAGUGAGGUAGGGGUGUGUGGAACUUCCAGUGGAGCGGUGAAAUGUGUUGAUAUUGGAAGGAACGCCGGUGGCGAAAGCGACACACUGGACCUUGUCUGACGCUGAGGCACGAAAGCCAGGGGAGCAAACGGGAUUAGAUACCCGUGUAGU
RNAcentral lists this ribosomal RNA (453 nucleotides) under uncultured organism. Its description in RNAcentral is "bacterial SSU rRNA". It matches the Rfam family "Bacterial small subunit ribosomal RNA", at positions 346 to 794 of the family's 1533-position model. The record is from RNAcentral.